This 21-nucleotide non-coding RNA is filed under the name Caenorhabditis elegans. The record is from RNAcentral. Lineage: Eukaryota; Metazoa; Nematoda; Chromadorea; Rhabditida; Rhabditidae.
UUUUCUGUCGAGUUACAGAAA